Molecule: long non-coding RNA, 467 nt
Filed under: Phoenix dactylifera (date palm)
Lineage: Eukaryota; Viridiplantae; Streptophyta; Magnoliopsida; Arecales; Arecaceae
Description: long non-coding RNA (PDAC_LNC000031)
Source: RNAcentral
UCAUGCGCUCCUAUGUCCCAAGAGAAGAAAUUCCCCCUGGAGAGAGACCCUAGGGGCAGUGGCUGGGUACCGAGUACUGACUAACUUCUCCAGUAGCAGGUGGCAACCAAAACAGUGGACAGAGGCGUGGCGACAAGCGAUGGGAAACGAGCCCACAAAGGACAGUGGAAGAGACGGGGCUCACCGCUCGUCUGUCCGCUCCCGCUUCCCCCCUUGCAUGGAUUUCAAAUACUGUGGGGACACAUCGACCAACCUCUCCUCUGAUUGAUCUACAGAGACCAAUGUGUUGUUUGGAUGGCGUCAUCCCAAGAGUUCGUACAUGGCUGGGGCUUGGGAGUUUGGGUUUGUCACCAACUACUUUGUCUGCUCAUAGCUUGUUUAAUAUCCAAAACACUGUUUCUGAGUGGGCAAACAGAGGAAACGAUCCAAUCCAUGGUUUUGAUUAAUUGAUGGAGCGGUCAAAGCAU